AUCUACAGGCAUACCACCCUGAACAUACCUGAUCUCUUCUGAUAUCAGAAGCUAAGCAGGGUCAGGUCUCGUUAAUACUUGGAUGGGAGAAUAAGUUACAUUUUUAUAGU
RNAcentral lists this ribosomal RNA (110 nucleotides) under Cavia porcellus (domestic guinea pig). Lineage: Eukaryota; Metazoa; Chordata; Mammalia; Rodentia; Caviidae. The record is from RNAcentral.